Molecule: ribosomal RNA, 120 nt
Filed under: Mesocricetus auratus (golden hamster)
Lineage: Eukaryota; Metazoa; Chordata; Mammalia; Rodentia; Cricetidae
Source: RNAcentral
GCUGGUUUCAUCACUCCCUGAAUGUGCCUGAUCUAAUCUGAUCUUGGAAGCUAAGCAGGGUCAGGCCUGGUUAGUAUUAGGAUGAGUAUUUGUGUUUUAAUAGUACAUUAGAGGGAAGCU